This 400-nucleotide ribosomal RNA is filed under the name uncultured bacterium. Its description in RNAcentral is "bacterial SSU rRNA". It matches the Rfam family "Bacterial small subunit ribosomal RNA", at positions 29 to 416 of the family's 1533-position model. The record is from RNAcentral.
AACGAACGCUGGCGGCGUGCCUAACACAUGCAAGUCGUGCGAGAAAGUUCCUUCGGGAGCGAGUAAAGCGGCGCACGGGUGAGUAACACGUAGGUAACCUGCCCCCCAGUCUGGAACAACUAGAGGAAACUCUAGCUAAUGCCGGAUGAGACCACGAUCCCUUCGGGGGUUGCGGCCAAAGAUGGCCUCUACUUGUAAGCUAUCGCUGAGGGAUGGGCCUGCGGCCAUUAGCUUGUUGGUGAGGUAACGGCUCACCAAGGCUGUGAUGGCUAGCUGGUCUGAGAGGAUGACCAGCCACACUGGGACUGAGACACGGCCCAGACUCCUACGGGAGCAGCAGUGGGAAUAUUGCGCAAUGGCGAAAGCCUGACGCAGCGACGCCGCGUGGGUGAUGAAGGCC